GCUGUGGCCUAAUGGUUAGGGCAUCGGCUUGUAACCGAAGGGUUACCGGUUCGAUCCCCGACCAGUA
This 67-nucleotide transfer RNA is filed under the name Alosa alosa (allis shad). RNAcentral describes it as "tRNA-Thr". Lineage: Eukaryota; Metazoa; Chordata; Actinopteri; Clupeiformes; Clupeidae. The record is from RNAcentral.